Molecule: ribosomal RNA, 494 nt
Filed under: uncultured bacterium
Lineage: Bacteria
Description: partial 16S ribosomal RNA
Rfam family: Bacterial small subunit ribosomal RNA
Source: RNAcentral
GACGAACGCUGGCGGCGUGCUUAACACAUGCAAGUCGAACGGUGAAGCGCCUUCCUUUUUGGUUGGUGUGGAUGAGUGGCGAACGGGUGAGUAACACGUGCGUAACCUGCCCCCUUCUUCUGGAUAACCGCAUGAAAGUGUGGCUAAUACGGGAUAUUCUGGUGCUGUCGCAUGAUGGGUCUGGGACAGCUGUUGUUUCUGUGGGGGCUGGUCUCGCGGCCUAUCAGCUUGUUGGUGGUGUGAUGGGCUACGAAGGCGGUGACGGGUAGCCGGCCUGGGAGGGUGGACGGUCAGACAGGGAGAGAGGCACGGCCCAGACUGCUACGGGGGGCAGCAGUGGAGAAGAUGGCACAAUGGGGGAUAGUCUGAUGCAGCGGCGCCGCGUGAGGGAUGGCGCCGUGCGCGUGGUGACCGUCUUUCGCUAGUGAAGCAGGCCUGCCUGGGAUGUGGGUGGGUUGACGGUAGCUGGAAAAGAAGCGCCGGCUAACUACGUG